AGCUUUGCUCAAUAGCAGUAUCAUAGCCAGUGAGGUUUAUCCAAGGCGUAAUUACUACUAAUUGAAAACUUUCACCCUGGUCACUUUCCUCAGCCACAGAGGUAAUGAGUGACAACCAAUCCAGGGG
Molecule: small nuclear RNA, 127 nt
Filed under: Chinchilla lanigera (long-tailed chinchilla)
Lineage: Eukaryota; Metazoa; Chordata; Mammalia; Rodentia; Chinchillidae
Description: U4 spliceosomal RNA (ENSCLAG00000020375.1)
Rfam family: U4 spliceosomal RNA
About the family: U4 small nuclear RNA (U4 snRNA) is a component of the major U2-dependent spliceosome.
Source: RNAcentral